RNAcentral lists this ribosomal RNA (468 nucleotides) under uncultured bacterium. RNAcentral's name for it is "partial 16S ribosomal RNA". It matches the Rfam family "Bacterial small subunit ribosomal RNA", at positions 28 to 507 of the family's 1533-position model. The record is from RNAcentral.
GACGAACGCUGGCGGCGUGCUUAACACAUGCAAGUCGAACGGCAAGGCCCUGCUUUUGUGGGGUGCUCGAGUGGCGAACGGGUGAGUAACACGUGAGUAACCUGCCCUUGACUUUGGGAUAACUUCAGGAAACUGGGGCUAAUACCGGAUAGGAGCUCCUGCUGCAUGGUGGGGGUUGGAAAGUUUCGGCGGUUGGGGAUGGACUCGCGGCUUAUCAGCUUGUUGGUGGGGUAGUGGCUUACCAAGGCUUUGACGGGUAGCCGGCCUGAGAGGGUGACCGGCCACAUUGGGACUGAGAGACGGCCCAGACUCCUACGGGAGGCAGCAGGGGGGAAUAUUGCAGAAUGGGCGGAAGCCUGAUGCAGCAACGCCGCGUGCGGGAUGACGGCCUUCGGGUUGUAAACCGCUUUCGCCUGUGACGAAGCGUGAGUGACGGUAAUGGGUAAAGAAGCACCGGCUAACUACGUG